RNAcentral lists this small RNA (29 nucleotides) under Bombyx mori (domestic silkworm). RNAcentral describes it as "ovarian small RNA-9697". Lineage: Eukaryota; Metazoa; Arthropoda; Insecta; Lepidoptera; Bombycidae. The record is from RNAcentral.
UUGAUGACAGUCAGCGUGCAGCCGGGCCU